This 519-nucleotide ribosomal RNA is filed under the name uncultured bacterium. RNAcentral describes it as "bacterial SSU rRNA". It matches the Rfam family "Bacterial small subunit ribosomal RNA", at positions 338 to 869 of the family's 1533-position model. The record is from RNAcentral.
CCUACCGGGAGGCAGCAGUGGGGAAUUUUCCGCAAUGGGCGAAACCCUGACGGAGCAAUACCGCGUGAGGGAUGACGGCCUAUGGGUUGUAAACCUCUUUUUUCAGGGAGGAAUAAAUGACGUGUACCUGAAGAAUAAGCAUCGGCUAACUCCGUGCCAGCAGCCGCGGUAAGACGGAGGAUGCAAGUGUUAUCCGGAAUCACUGGGCGUAAAGCGUCUGUAGGUGGUUUAAUAAGUCAACUGUUAAAUCUUGAGGCUCAACCUCAAAAUCGCAGUCGAAACUAUUAGACUAGAGUAUAGUAGGGGUAAAGGGAAUUUCCAGUGGAGCGGUGAAAUGCGUAGAGAUUGGAAAGAACACCAAUGGCGAAGGCACUUUACUGGGCUAUUACUAACACUCAGAGACGAAAGCUAGGGUAGCAAAUGGGAUUAGAUACCCCAGUAGUCCUAGCCCUAAACAAUGGAUACUAGAUGUUGAACAGAUCGACCUGUGCAGUAUCAAAGCUAACGCGAUAAGUUCCC